RNAcentral lists this ribosomal RNA (468 nucleotides) under uncultured bacterium. RNAcentral describes it as "partial 16S ribosomal RNA". It matches the Rfam family "Bacterial small subunit ribosomal RNA", at positions 28 to 507 of the family's 1533-position model. The record is from RNAcentral.
GACGAACGCUGGCGGCGUGCUUAACACAUGCAAGUCGAACGGAAAGGCCCUGCUUUUGUGGGGUGCUCGAGUGGCGAACGGGUGAGUAACACGUGAGUAACCUGCCCUUGACUUUGGGAUAACUUCAGGAAACUGGGGCUAAUACCGGAUAGGAGCUCCUGCUGCAUGGUGGGGGUUGGAAAGUUUCGACGGUUGGGGAUGGACUCGCGGCUUAUCAGCUUGUUGGUGGGGUAGUGGCUUACCAAGGCUUUGACGGGUAGCCGGCCUGAGAGGGUGGCCGGCCACAUUGGGACUGAGAUACGGCCCAGACUCCUACGGGAGGCAGCAGUGGGGAAUAUUGCACAAUGGGCGGAAGCCUGAUGCAGCAACGCCGCGUGCGGGAUGACGGCCUUCGGGUUGUAAACCGCUUUCGCCUGUGACGAAGCGUGAGUGACGGUAAUGGGUAAAGAAGCACCGGCUAACUACGUG